RNAcentral lists this ribosomal RNA (497 nucleotides) under uncultured bacterium. RNAcentral describes it as "partial 16S ribosomal RNA". It matches the Rfam family "Bacterial small subunit ribosomal RNA", at positions 28 to 507 of the family's 1533-position model. The record is from RNAcentral.
GAUGAACGCUGGCGGCGUGCCUAAUACAUGCAAGUAGAACGCUGAAGCUUGGUGCUUGCACCGAGCGGAUGAGUUGCGAACGGGUGAGUAACGCGUAGGUAACCUGCCUCUUAGCGGGGGAUAACUAUUGGAAACGAUAGCUAAUACCGCAUAAAAGUCGAUAUCGCAUGAUAUUGAUUUGAAAGGUGCAACUGCAUCACUAAGAGAUGGACCUGCGUUGUAUUAGCUAGUUGGUGAGGUAACGGCUCACCAAGGCGACGAUACAUAGCCGACCUGAGAGGGUGAUCGGCCACACUGGGACUGAGACACGGCCCAGACUCCUACGGGAGGCAGCAGUAGGGAAUCUUCGGCAAUGGGGGCAACCCUGACCGAGCAACGCCGCGUGAGUGAAGAAGGUUUUCGGAUCGUAAAGCUCUGUUGUAAGAGAAGAACGAGUGUGAGAGUGGAAAGUUCACACUGUGACGGUAACUUACCAGAAAGGGACGGCUAACUACGUG